RNAcentral lists this ribosomal RNA (301 nucleotides) under uncultured bacterium. RNAcentral's name for it is "partial 16S ribosomal RNA". It matches the Rfam family "Bacterial small subunit ribosomal RNA", at positions 509 to 808 of the family's 1533-position model. The record is from RNAcentral.
CAGCCGCCGCGGGAAUACGGAGGGUGCAGCGUUAAUCGGAAUUACUGGGCGUAAAGAGUGCGUAGGUGGUUAGAUAAGUUAUGUGUGAAAUCCCUGGGCUUAACCUGGGCAGGUCAUAUAAUACUGUUUGACUCGAGUAUGGGAGAGGGUAGUGGAAUUUCCGGUGUAGCGGUGAAGUGCGUAGAGAUCGGAAGGAACACCAGUGGCGAAGGCGGCUACCUGGCCUAAUACUGACACUGAGGCACGAAAGCGUGGGGAGCAAACAGGAUUAGAUACCCGGGUAGUCCCUGUCUCUUAUACA